RNAcentral lists this ribosomal RNA (512 nucleotides) under uncultured bacterium. RNAcentral describes it as "bacterial SSU rRNA". It matches the Rfam family "Bacterial small subunit ribosomal RNA", at positions 15 to 518 of the family's 1533-position model. The record is from RNAcentral.
GAUCUUGGUUCAGGAUGAACGCUAGCUACAGGCUAACACAUGCAAGUCGAGGGGCAGCGAGAAGAAAGCUUGCUUCUUGUCGGCGACCGGCGCACGGGUGAGUAACGCGUAUCCAACCUUCCCCUUAGUAGGGCAUAGCCCGUAGAAAUGCGGAUUAAUACCCUAUGUUGUUCGAUGCGGACAUCUAAGUUGAACCAAAGGUUUACCGCUAAGGGAUGGGGAUGCGUCUGAUUAGGCAGCAGGCGGGGUAACGGCCCACCUGGCCGACGAUCAGUAGGGGUUCUGAGAGGAAGGUCCCCCCACAUUGGAACUGAGACACGGUCCAAACUCCUACGGGAGGCAGCAGUGAGGAAUAUUGGUCAAUGGGCGCGAGCCUGAACCAGCCAAGUAGCGUGCAGGAUGACGGCUCUAUGGGUUGUAAACUGCUUUUAUCAGGGGAUAAAGUGAGGGACGUGUCCCUUUUUGUAGGUACCUGAUGAAUAAGGACCGGCUAAUUCCGUGCCAGCCGCCGC